Molecule: transfer RNA, 74 nt
Filed under: Deltaproteobacteria bacterium
Lineage: Bacteria; Pseudomonadati; Myxococcota; Myxococcia
Description: tRNA-Asp
Rfam family: tRNA
About the family: Transfer RNA (tRNA) molecules are approximately 80 nucleotides in length.
Source: RNAcentral
GGGCACGUAGCACAAUAGGAUAGUGCACUGGAUUGUCGAUCCAGGUUAUGCGAGUUCGAUUCUCGUCGUGCCCG